RNAcentral lists this long non-coding RNA (485 nucleotides) under Brassica napus (rape). Its description in RNAcentral is "long non-coding RNA (BNAP_LNC013356)". The record is from RNAcentral. Lineage: Eukaryota; Viridiplantae; Streptophyta; Magnoliopsida; Brassicales; Brassicaceae.
CCCUCAAAAUUUUAGGAUUUUAGAGUCUAUCGGUGACUCAAAAACUUAAAAAUUUGAAGGUUCGAAGGCCUAUUGGAGAUGCUGGAGUAGCGCACGCUUUGCCUUUGGGGUUACGCGUUUAUCGAGUUCACUCACUUUUUAACCAACCACUCCUUUGCAGCCUUUUUACACUAAACUUUUCUCUGUUAUACUCUUCUCUUGUCCAUAUUCCACACACCUCUUAUUUUAACUUCCGAAUGUUUCAUUGAUAUUAUUGAUGUUAUAUAUGAUUACGACUAACUAAAUAGGAGUACUACAUACAUCGAUAGAAGAUAUAUCCCUUGUUUCCAAAAAACAAAAGGUUAACCAGGUAGACAUCUGCAGUAUACUAGUGUAUAUUUUUGGUGUUACAUUCUAUAUUAGAUAUUAUCACAUCAGAUACUAUAUGCAUGUCCAAUAUUAGUGAGUUUUGGUUAGUACCGAUUCUUACAUUAUCAUAACAAAAU